Molecule: ribosomal RNA, 462 nt
Filed under: uncultured bacterium
Lineage: Bacteria
Description: bacterial SSU rRNA
Rfam family: Bacterial small subunit ribosomal RNA
Source: RNAcentral
GAUGAACGCUGGCGGCGUGCUUAACACAUGCAAGUCGAACGGGAUCCCAGGAGCUUGCUCCUGGGUGAGAGUGGCGAACGGGUGAGUAAUGCGUGACCGACCUGCCCCAUACACCGGAAUAGCUCCUGGAAACGGGUGGUAAUGCCGGAUGCUCCAGUUGACCGCAUGUUCCUCUGGGAAAGCUUUUUCGGUAUGGGAUGGGGUCGCGUCCUAUCAGCUUGAUGGCGGGGUAACGGCCCACCAUGGCUUCGACGGGUAGCCGGCCUGAGAGGGCGACCGGCCGCAUUGGGACUGAGAUACGGCCCAGACUCCUACGGGAGGCAGCAGUGGGGAAUAUUGCACAAUGGGCGCAAGCCUGAUGCAGCGACGCCGCGUGCGGGAUGACGGCCUUCGGGUUGUAAACCGCUUUUGACUGGGAGCAAGCCCUUCGGGGUGAGUGUACCUUUCGAAUAAGCACCGGCU